CCCUUAGAUGUUCGGGGCCGCACGCGCGCUACACUGAAGGGAUCAGCGUGUCUCACCUCGCCUGAGAAGGCCGGGUAACCCGUUGAACCUCCUUCGUGCUAGGGAUUGGGGCUUGUAAUUCUUGCCCAUGAACGAGGAAUUCCCAGUAAGCGCGAGUCAUCAGCUCGCGUUGAUUACGUCCCUGCCCUUUGUACACACCGCCCGUCGCUCCUACCGAUUGGGUGUGCUGGUGAAAUGUUCGGAUCGGCCGUUUGUCGCGGUUUCCGCGUCAUGUGGCUGAGAAGUUCAUUAAACCCUCCCACCUAGAGGAAGGAGAAGUCGUAACA
RNAcentral lists this ribosomal RNA (326 nucleotides) under uncultured eukaryote. Its description in RNAcentral is "partial 18S ribosomal RNA". It matches the Rfam family "Eukaryotic small subunit ribosomal RNA", at positions 1470 to 1796 of the family's 1831-position model. The record is from RNAcentral.